UUCGGGUCGUAAAGUUCUGUUGUCAGGGAAGAACAAGUGCCGCAGGCAAUGGCGGCACCUUGACGGUACCUUGCGAGAAAGCCACGGCUAACUACGUGCCAGCAGCCGCGGUAAUACGUAGGUGGCAAGCGUUGUCCGGAAUUAUUGGGCGUAAAGCGCGCGCAGGCGGCCUCUUAAGUCUGAUGUGAAAGCCCCCGGCUCAACCGGGGAGGGCCAUUGGAAACUGGGAGGCUUGAGUAUAGGAGAGAAGAGUGGAAUUCCACGUGUAGCGGUGAAAUGCGUAGAGAUGUGGAGGAACACCAGUGGCGAAGGCGACUCUUUGGCCUAUAACUGACGCUGAGGCGCGAAAGCGUGGGGAGCAAACAGGAUUAGAUACCCUGGUAGUCCACGCCGUAAACGAUGAGUGCUAGGUGUUGGAGGGUUUCCGCCCUUCAGUGCUGAAGCUAACGCAUUAAGCACUCCGCCUGGGGAGUACGGUCGCAAGGCUGAAACUCAA
Molecule: ribosomal RNA, 496 nt
Filed under: uncultured bacterium
Lineage: Bacteria
Description: bacterial SSU rRNA
Rfam family: Bacterial small subunit ribosomal RNA
Source: RNAcentral